This 429-nucleotide ribosomal RNA is filed under the name Verrucomicrobiota bacterium. Its description in RNAcentral is "Verrucomicrobia bacterium partial 16S ribosomal RNA". It matches the Rfam family "Bacterial small subunit ribosomal RNA", at positions 355 to 776 of the family's 1533-position model. The record is from RNAcentral. Lineage: Bacteria; Pseudomonadati; Verrucomicrobiota.
UAGGGAAUCUUCCGCAAUGGACGAAAGUCUGACGGAGCAACGCCGCGUGAGUGAAGAAGGAUUUCGGUUCGUAAAACUCUGUUGUUAGGGAAGAAAAAAUGUAUAGUAACUAUAUACAAAAGAGACGGUACCUAACCAGAAAGCCACGGCUAACUACGUGCCAGCAGCCGCGGUAAUACGUAUGUGGCAAGCGUUGUCCGGAAUUAUUGGGCGUAAAGCGCGCGCAGGUGGUUUAGAAAGUCUGAUGUGAAAGCCCACGGCUCAACCGUGGAUGGUCAUUGGAAACUAAUAAACUUGAGUGCAGGAGAGAAGAGUGGAAUUCCUAGUGGAGCGGUGAAAUGCGUAGAGAUUAGGAGGAACACCGGUGGCGAAAGCGGCUUUUUGGCCUGCAACUAACACUGAGGCGCGAAAGCAUGGGGAGCAAACAGG